Molecule: long non-coding RNA, 888 nt
Organism: Vanessa atalanta (red admiral)
Lineage: Eukaryota; Metazoa; Arthropoda; Insecta; Lepidoptera; Nymphalidae
Exons: 3
Source: RefSeq, a predicted model, not a curated record
AUCCCGUUGUCAUUUCUUGUUUGGUCCUGAACUUCACACUAGUUGGUCAUAUUAAUUUAAUUUCAAAUCCUGUACCUUUUAAUAUUUUCUGCUUCUUUAGAUUUACUAACGGCAAAGGAAAAUCAACUGGUUAAGCAUAUGGGACUCCGAUUCAGAUGCCGACAGCGAUACGUGUAGGUAUCUUCUAAAAGGCGUGUAGCGGCGGGUAAGAUGAAUUUAUUCUGAUAUUUAGGUGUAAUGUUUAUAGUUAUGAUUAAAAUGUAUAAUAUUAAAAUUACUCAUAUAGAAAAAAUAUCACAGUAUUUUAUUAAAUCAGUUAUCUGAUUUAAUUAAAACAAUUUGUUAAUUAUUAUAAAAAAUCAAUGAGUAAUGCAACACAUGCUGUAUAAGCUUGUUUUAUAUCAAAUGAACUUAUAAAAGUCACUAAUUGAUAAAUGAUAAUUCAGCUAGCAAAGUUUCUAUUAAUUAAAAUUGUUUCUUUUAUUAUUAAAAUAAAUCGUUAUAAAAUUCAUUUAUCUAAUUUUAUCUUAAUAAAAAAUUACUUUAUGGGAUAUUUUCAUUUGUGUCUUUUGCAGUUUGGUUUUAUCAUAUUCUUUUUGUAUAUGUGUGCAAUUUUGCAACUUAAUUUUUAACUAUGUCCAUCAUCAUUGAGCUAAAUUUUGUGUGCAGUUUUCGUGUUGUUAACGAUACUGUCUAGUACAUUUAAAACACCGUUUAAAUAAAAGCUUGUUUAAUUUAUUAUUCAUCGAAAUUUAUAAGUCAUGUUUUAAGUAGUUUAUUGUUGCGUUCAUAGUAAAAUUAAAUAGUUUAAGUUUUUUGUUAUAAUAAUUGUUUUAGAUGCUGGUCAAUGUUCUGUUUUAUGAAUUAUAUAAUUUUUAUCAAAUAUUC